GGGGUAUAGUUUAAUGGUAAAACGAAGGUCUCCAAAACCUUUGAUGUGGGUUCGAUUCCUACUACCCCUGCCAU
This 74-nucleotide transfer RNA is filed under the name Shouchella lehensis G1. Its description in RNAcentral is "Bacillus lehensis G1 tRNA-Trp". It matches the Rfam family "tRNA". Rfam says of the family: Transfer RNA (tRNA) molecules are approximately 80 nucleotides in length. Their secondary structure includes four short double-helical elements and three loops (D, anti-codon, and T loops). Further hydrogen bonds mediate the characteristic L-shaped molecular structure. tRNAs have two regions of fundamental functional importance: the anti-codon, which is responsible for specific mRNA codon recognition, and the 3' end, to which the tRNAs corresponding amino acid is attached (by aminoacyl-tRNA synthetases). tRNAs cope with the degeneracy of the genetic code in two manners: having more than one tRNA (with a specific anti-codon) for a particular amino acid; and 'wobble' base-pairing, i.e. permitting non-standard base-pairing at the 3rd anti-codon position. The record is from RNAcentral. Lineage: Bacteria; Bacillati; Bacillota; Bacilli; Caryophanales; Bacillaceae.